CGCAAGCCCUAGCCUAGCCAUGCCGCGUGAGUGAAGAAGGUUGACCGGUUGUAAAGCUCUUUCAGUUGGGAAGAAACGAUUGCAACUAAUAAUUGUAAUUAAUGACGGUACCGACAGAAGAAGCUCAGGACUUCUAACUACGUUUCAGCAGCCGCGGUAAUACGUACCGGCGAGCGUUAAUCGGAAUUACUGGUAGGUAAAGGCUGCGCAGGCGGUUUUGUAAGUCAGAUGUGAAAUGCCCGGGCUUAACCUGGGAAUGGCGUUUGAAACUGCGUGGCUAGAGUGUAGCAGAGGCGGGUGGAAUUCCACGUGUAGCAGUGAAAUGCGUAGAGGGUUAACGUGAGGAAACUCUCUGAUGGCGAAGGCAGCCCCCUGGUACGGAACACUGACGCUCAGGCACGAAAGCGUGGGGAGCAAACAGGAUUAGAUACCCAGAUAGUCCACGCCCUAAACGAUGUCAUAGAGUUUGAGGGUCUUAACGGGCUUGGUCCCCGCAGCUAACGCGUGA
Molecule: ribosomal RNA, 508 nt
Filed under: uncultured bacterium
Lineage: Bacteria
Description: bacterial SSU rRNA
Rfam family: Bacterial small subunit ribosomal RNA
Source: RNAcentral